GAAGGGCUAUGCAACUGGGGCUUCCUCUUCACAAAAAACACACGCCUAUACGGACAAUACGUACAGGCCUGGAAAAGCUGCGCAACACUCAGCUCUCUUCUUCUCCGACGAAGAAAAGAAAGAGACGAACAGACCCAUUUUCGAUCCUCACCACCCUUUCCCCUCUCCUUCCUCAUCUUGUUCAAUGAUAGCGCUUUCAGAUCUGGAAAUUUCGAAUAAACGACGGGUUUUCAAUUGAUUGGUUGGGUGAUAGUUGGUUGUCGAAUCAGGGACUGCUUUGGUGGGUUGUCUUUGCUCAUGUUGCAAGAGCUCGUCUUGUUUGGUGGUGGUCUGAGUUUGUUCUGUUCCGGCUUCUUAAACUAGGGAUUGUAUUCAAAGAUGGUGUAAUUAAAAGGAAAAUACAAUCUGCGAAAUUUGUUUACAGGUUUGAAUUUUGUUUCUUCUUUAAUUUAUUUCGAUUCCAAGAAAUCAAAUUAACGACACUGAUGUUUUUUUUAUGAGCAAUUUGCCGUUGGUUGGGUCAUUGUUAUACACUUCACGUAGAAUGUAAUAAAUAAUUAUGUCGUAGUUCUUUUUUUUUUCUUCCGUUUUUGUCUAAUAAUUAUGUGAUGUUUCAUUUAGUUGUUUCAAUUUUCAUGCAUCCCGCAAAGUUAAUAACGCGUUAGUUGUUUUAGGCGCGUUCUUUAAUAAUUUUACAUCCUUAAACUCUGGUGCGCUUUUCAUGUGACCCAAAUUCAAAUCCUAAAAUGUCGAAUAAAAAUAUGAUUUGGAUUGCGGGUAUAUUUCAUGUGACGCGAUCCAAAGACACAUUUUAGACGACAUUCAAUUUUCCUUAAAAAUUAAUUAAAAGCGAUAAAUAAUUUAAAAUUGCACCAUAGGUUUGAGACAUGUAUUAAAAUCAGAUAAUUUAAGCCAAAUAUAACAGUUGAGCGACCGUGCUAGAACCACGGAACUCGGGAAUGCCUAACACCUUCUCUCGAGUUAACAGAAUUUCUUACUCGGAUUUCUGGUUUGCGCACUGUUAGACAGAGUCAUUAUUUCCUCGAUUCGGGAUUCUAAACGGUGGCUUGGGACACCGUAAAUCUCCCAAGUGGAGACUCUGAAAUUGUUUUAAAUAAUUGAAUCAUGUUUUGAUUGUCCUUUAAUUGAAUAAACUCAUUUAUCUACGCCCUUCGCGGGGUUGUAGUGUAAAAGGAGGUGUGACUGCGCUGGCGACUCUGCUACGGAUCGAACCCAGAAUCUUUGUUUCAGGGUUCAAGAAGUCGAGCUUAGAAUAAUUGUUGUAUUUGGCUUUGUUUAUUAUCUGAUUUUGCAUGUUGGCUUAAUGUGCAAAAUGAUGCUUUUACCGUUUUGAUAUUAUCUGAACUGUACAUAUAAACUGCUACGAAACCCUUCUCUUCUCACCUUCGGGGAUGUGCUUACUGGUUUGGGCUCCCUAUUCUAUUAGUGUCAUACCCUAAAGUAAGAAAGAGGCCGGACAAGUUACUAAGCCAGAUGGCCUUUUGGUUCCCGAUACGUAGCCCCCUCCUCGACUUGAGUUGUCCGCUCGAGUACACAGUCUAGAAUAUAUACCAAGGUUUUGAACCUAGAAUAACUCAGCCUCAUGCUGGAUCCCUAGUAUGAACGCUUAUUUGCAUCAUGCAUUUGACUUAGCGGUCUCAACACAGGGCUUGGGUCCGUCCAGGACAGGUGUACCCAAUUUAAAAGACCAUCCUGAUGCAUUUUAUAUGCCACAUAUUGCAUUUUUUAAAGGGUGAAAGGGUCAUUUGGCAGACCAUUGAUAGCCGAGGGUAAAACAAAAUGAGAAAAAACGAAAAACAAUGAAAAAAAGAGAUGGCGAUGUCUGGAAAUAGAGCAAGCAAGGUGUAGUUACAUUUUUGUCACGUUUUUAUUUAAAAACAAAAAGAAGAUACAUGAAAAUUCAAAAAAAUAUCUUACUCUUUUUCAUCAUUACUUGAAAAUCAAAAGAAGAAAAAAUACAAAAAUACAAAAAUAGUUUACGUAUUUCAUCAUUUUUCAAAAGAGAUAAAAGAAUUUAUGUUCUUUAAAAAUGAGUUGUUUUUUUAUUAUUCUUGCCCGUAUCCAUAUUGCCCGAACUACGCAAACUUGAUUCUCGUCUUUUGGGACGUGAUAUGUAGGCAACCCACAUAGGGUCCGGUCUUCCUACUAAAUCUUAGGCCCUUGGCUUUACGGGGUCAUAGCCAGAUUUUGCACUUCUAGCCCAUGUUAGCCACAUAGGCUAGUUUUAGAAUUCAGAAGUUAUUCGUUUGGAAAUUGUGUGAAUUGAGUUGUGUCAAUGGACUCUACUAUUCAAGUUGAAAUUCUCUUGUCAAACUUUUUUUAUGUUGGUGAAAGUUCUGUUGAGAUCAGUCUUUGUUUGUUGGAACAUUGUUUUGCGAUUUUAAUUCAAUCUAUGAGUUGCACUUUUGUGAAGUUUUUAGAGUAAAUUGAUAGUUGAAAUUCUCCUAGUUUGAAUUUGUUACCGCUGAUUUCUAAUAGUUGUUAUUAUUGUUGAGUUUAAUAGAUGGGACUCGGUUGGACUAAAGAUUGAGCAGCUUAAAUUGUGAUUUGGUUGAGCAUACAGUAAGCUCAAUCUGCCGAAAAUUGGUGUCUGUUGAGAUUGUGCUCGAGUUUAGCAGUGAUAGCUUGAAAGCUGGUUUUUACUUCUAAAAUGUUCUCCUUGUGGAAUUGAGUGCUAUUUUUACAUAAACUAUUGUCCAGUUGGUUAGAAUCUGCUGACAGAAGCUGCAUAUUUGAUGGAAAAUAAUUUGCUGCUUAUUUUCUGUUGCUUAAAAGAAUUUCAUACUAGCUUUCCACCGCCUGCAUUGUUCAUUUUUCGCUCAACAAUGGAGAUUUUCAACUGGAAAAUAAUUUGUUGCUUGUUUUCUGUUGCUCAAAAGAAUUUCAUACUUGUUGUCCAUAGCCCUGCAUUGUUCAUUUGUUGCUCAACAAUGGAGAUUUCCACAUUUCUUUAAUUGAUUGUUGUUACUAUAGUUUUUCUUAACAGUUGAGGGAAUUUUGCGAAAGUUUUAGCUUCCGGUAACUCACUUGCGUUGCAUCAGUUUGUAUGCCAAUAAUACAUUAUUGAAAUUCAAGUUUUGAGUUAUUUUCUUUUAAAAGAUGAUCUCGCACUAUUUAGAUGUACUUUAUGGUUAUUCUGACUCAAUAUUGCUGUGAUUCUAAUGCUUUGUUUCUACAGUUGAGGUCGUCAUUCUGGGCUAAAAAUUUCUGUGCCUAUUGCUGCUGAAUUU
RNAcentral lists this long non-coding RNA (3251 nucleotides) under Nicotiana benthamiana. RNAcentral describes it as "long non-coding RNA (NBEN_LNC036542)". The record is from RNAcentral. Lineage: Eukaryota; Viridiplantae; Streptophyta; Magnoliopsida; Solanales; Solanaceae.